RNAcentral lists this ribosomal RNA (224 nucleotides) under Staphylococcus aureus. Its description in RNAcentral is "partial 23S ribosomal RNA". It matches the Rfam family "Bacterial large subunit ribosomal RNA", at positions 2701 to 2925 of the family's 2925-position model. Lineage: Bacteria; Bacillati; Bacillota; Bacilli; Caryophanales; Staphylococcaceae. The record is from RNAcentral.
ACAUACCUCUGGUGUACCAGUUGUCGUGCCAACGGCAUAGCUGGGUAGCUAUGUGUGGACGGGAUAAGUGCUGAAAGCAUCUAAGCAUGAAGCCCCCCUCAAGAUGAGAUUUCCCAACUUCGGUUAUAAGAUCCCUCAAAGAUGAUGAGGUUAAUAGGUUCGAGGUGGAAGCAUGGUGACAUGUGGAGCUGACGAAUACUAAUCGAUCGAAGACUUAAUCAAAA